RNAcentral lists this long non-coding RNA (859 nucleotides) under Felis catus (domestic cat). RNAcentral's name for it is "lncRNA (ENSFCAG00000047454.1)". The record is from RNAcentral. Lineage: Eukaryota; Metazoa; Chordata; Mammalia; Carnivora; Felidae.
AAAAGUGGAAGGAAAGAGUGGGGUGUGGAUGGAGGAAGGAGAACAGGGAAAAGGGAGGCAGGCUCUUGGCAAAGACAGGUUUGCAAGAGAGAAAAAAACAGAGGGCGGGCCGGCGGGAGGCUCCUCUGUGGGAUAAAGGGGGCCCCCCAGCUCUUCUGUGGGCUCCACGCCAGCACGGGGCUCUCAAGGUUCGCAGCAACCUGGCUCCAAGACUUUAAAAUAUCGCCGCAUCUGAGCUCAAGAAUUUCCUAUAAAGCUCGCGGGCUGACAGCAGGAAGCCGGGCCGGGUUCAAACCUUCUUUCUCCGGCUCAGCAGCGCGCUGCCAGCCGGGGGGCACAGUGGGAGCCGAGGGAGGGUCUGUCCUGCGGCAGAAAAUGUGCAGAAGUCACGGGGACAUCAUUUUAGGUAUAAUGAAGGAGGCUACGGAAAGCAGAGCGUCCCCUCCAACCAACCGACACUGCAUGGGCGAUCGUGCGUUUUUCUGCACAGAAUUCCAUUUACUUACACAUCACGGACAUUCUCUGGCCCUACAGUGGGCAUCAGCUUCAGCUUCCUGUACUAACUACCCCCAAAUGAUCCAGGAAAGCAGGAAGUCCUCACUUCUAAGAAGCUGGAAGUUAACAGUCCCCAGAGCGAGAGAGGGCAGGGCAGAAGGAGAGAGAGAGACACUCCUAACCUGGCUCCACAUUCAAUGAGGAGCCCGACGUGGGGCUUGAUCCCACAACCCUGGGAUCAUGACCUGAGCCGAAAUCAAGAGUCGGACACUCAACUGACCGAGCCCCCCGGGCACCACCCGGGCGCCCCCUCCCCUCAAAUAUUUCUGUCGUAAUCAACCUCCUUCUGUACUCUUAUUUGGUC